RNAcentral lists this transfer RNA (102 nucleotides) under Enterospora canceri. It matches the Rfam family "tRNA". Rfam says of the family: Transfer RNA (tRNA) molecules are approximately 80 nucleotides in length. The record is from Rfam by way of RNAcentral. Lineage: Eukaryota; Fungi; Microsporidia; Enterocytozoonidae.
GCUCCCGUGGCUCAGUGGUUAGAGCGCGGUACUUAUAAGUUGUAAAAUUAUGGUAACAGCAGAGUAAUGCUGAGGUCGCGAGUUCAAUCCUCGCCGGGAGCA